Molecule: ribosomal RNA, 468 nt
Filed under: uncultured bacterium
Lineage: Bacteria
Description: partial 16S ribosomal RNA
Rfam family: Bacterial small subunit ribosomal RNA
Source: RNAcentral
GAUGAACGCUGACAGAAUGCUUAACACAUGCAAGUCUACUUGAAUUUGGGUUUUUUAACUUAGAUUUGGGUGGCGGACGGGUGAGUAACGCGUAAAGAACUUGCCUCACAGCUAGGGACAACAUUUGGAAACGAAUGCUAAUACCUGAUAUUAUGAUUAUAAGGCAUCUUAGAAUUAUGAAAGCUAUAUGCGCUGUGAGAGAGCUUUGCGUCCCAUUAGCUAGUUGGAGAGGUAACGGCUCACCAAGGCGAUGAUGGGUAGCCGGCCUGAGAGGGUGAACGGCCACAAGGGGACUGAGACACGGCCCUUACUCCUACGGGAGGCAGCAGUGGGGAAUAUUGGACAAUGGACCAAGAGUCUGAUCCAGCAAUUCUGUGUGCACGAUGACGUUUUUCGGAAUGUAAAGUGCUUUCAGUUGGGAAGAAAAAAAUGACGGUACCAACGGAAGAAGUGACGGCUAAAUACGUG